CCCGUCCUACGGGGGGCAGCAGUGAGGAAUGUUGGUCAAUGGUCGGGAGACUGAACCAGCCAAGCCGCGUGAGGGAGGAAGGUACAGAGUAUCGUAAACCUCUUUUGUCAGGGAACAAAGACUGGGACGCGUCCCCGGAUGAGUGUACCUGAAGAAAAAGCAUCGGCUAACUCCGUGCCAGCAGCCGCGGUAAUACGGAGGAUGCGAGCGUUAUCCGGAUUUAUUGGGUUUAAAGGGUGCUCAGGCGGUCUGUUAAGUCAGCGGUCAAAGCCCGGGGCUCAACCCCGGCCCGCCGUUGAAACUGG
This 305-nucleotide ribosomal RNA is filed under the name uncultured bacterium. RNAcentral describes it as "bacterial SSU rRNA". It matches the Rfam family "Bacterial small subunit ribosomal RNA", at positions 331 to 636 of the family's 1533-position model. The record is from RNAcentral.